This 378-nucleotide long non-coding RNA is filed under the name Androctonus crassicauda. Lineage: Eukaryota; Metazoa; Arthropoda; Arachnida; Scorpiones; Buthidae. The record is from RNAcentral.
AACUCUUUAUUAAACUCAAAUACUAACUUACAACUUGUUAGGCUUAAAAAGAUGAUAAUGUUCUCCUUCCUCACAGCAAAACUUUUAUACAAAAGCAAAGUCCAAAACAUAAAAGACACGCUCUUCUUUAAGAAGACACCACAAGCCAGUAGCCGCUAAUUCCCAGCUAAACACACAAUGUCCAUACAACAACGUUCACUAAUAACUCUGUCUGGGACAACGAUGAGACAUAGCAUUAGGACAACGACGGGACGUAGCAACACCAAGGAGGAGAACACACUGCGCCACUCGACGGCACCUCCUUAUAUCUGUCUUCUCAUUAACAUAUUAUACUGUGUAUCAAAAAGAAAUAAAUUUUGUACUAUAAACUUCUUAAUA